Molecule: long non-coding RNA, 212 nt
Organism: Penaeus monodon (black tiger shrimp)
Lineage: Eukaryota; Metazoa; Arthropoda; Malacostraca; Decapoda; Penaeidae
Exons: 2
Source: RefSeq, a predicted model, not a curated record
UAAUAUUUGCUUUAUCUCUAAUUGCUAGGCUGCAGUCCCAGUGAGUGGACUUGCAGGAAUGGAGAUUGUAUCCCUGAGUAUCAGCGUUGUGACAGAACACCUCAGUGCCUUGAUCGUUCAGAUGAAGAGAACUGCAGACCUGAACCUGGCUGCAGUCCUAGUGAGUGGACUUGCAGGAACGGAGACUGUAUCCCUGAGUAUCAGCGUUGUGA